Molecule: ribosomal RNA, 406 nt
Filed under: uncultured bacterium
Lineage: Bacteria
Description: partial 16S ribosomal RNA
Rfam family: Bacterial small subunit ribosomal RNA
Source: RNAcentral
AUUGAACGCUGGCGGCAGGCCUAACACAUGCAAGUCGAACGAGUGGCGGACGGGUGAGUAAGGUCUGGGAAACUGCCUGAUGGAGGGGGAUAACUACUGGAAACGGUAGCUAAUACCGCAUACCAUCAGAUGUGCCCAGAUGGGAUUAGCUAGUUGGUGGGGUAACGGCUCACCAAGGCGACGAUCCCUAGCUGGUCUGAGAGGAUGACCAGCCACCCUGGACCUGAGCCACGGUCCACACUCCUACGGUAGGCCGCAUUGGGGAAUAUUGCACAAUGGGCUCAAGCCUGAUGCAGCCAUGCCGCGUGUAUGCAGAGGGCCUUCGGGUUGUAAAGUACUUUCAGCGGGGAGGCGUUACCCGCAGAAGAAGCACCGGCUAACUCCGUGCCAGCAGCCGCGGUAAUUC